This is a long non-coding RNA of Rhopalosiphum padi (bird cherry-oat aphid), 739 nucleotides long. RefSeq lists it as uncharacterized. The record is from RefSeq and is a predicted model, not a curated record. NCBI's taxonomy places the organism in Eukaryota, Metazoa, Arthropoda, Insecta, Hemiptera, Aphididae. The transcript is spliced from 4 exons.
AACAUGAUCGAAAAAAUACGUGAGAGUAUCAUUGUAUAGCAUUUUGGAUUAAACGCCUUGUACGUUUACGAACAGAGCACAGUCUGUGACCAGUGUUUAAACGGAAUAUUAUUGUGAAGUUCAACGACCCAAUUGUGAAUAAUAAUAUGAACAUAUACGGUCGGGGCGGUCGUCUAUAGUUAGAUAUUAUUUUGGCUGUAUUUGUGCUUAAAAUGCUGAGCAAAUAAAAUUCACGAUUUUGAAAACUGAUAACGUAAUACGACACGAAUAGGUUGUUACAAAAUAAUGCUACAUUUCGUGACUGUCAUAACUCGAGGACUUUGCAUCAAGGAUAUCCCCUCGUGAUAGCUAGCACUUAUAAUAAUAUUUAUGUUCAAUAUUAUUGUUAUGUCUCGAGGACAAAAUCAAACUUCAACGCGUCGUAUACUAAUAUAUUAUGUACGCGCGUCUUGCGCUAUUAAUUCAAACUUACAUCUCCAUGACCGACUCUAUACACGUGUUCAUCGUCCAUCCAGAGCACGUCAAAUGCUUGGAGUCGCAAAGUCCACAUGGAUGCCGUCAGGUCGAUGUAAGAUAACUAUCAAAAGUCGUCGGUCUGCUGAUCAUCAUUCAACAUCCUCACACUCUCGUUCUUCUACGUGAUGUACUUUCUGUUGAACUUCUUAUACUUUGUAUUUAACUGCAUUCCAUAGUCCGUCAUACAGCGGUCACGGGAGUUAAUUUCAAUCACCUUCACCAA